AAAAAUUUAGUUAAUUUUAAUAACAUUAGUUUGUCAAACUAAAAUAAUUUCAUUUAGAAAUAAUUUUUA
Molecule: transfer RNA, 69 nt
Filed under: Onthophagus baolocensis
Lineage: Eukaryota; Metazoa; Arthropoda; Insecta; Coleoptera; Scarabaeidae
Description: tRNA-Asp
Source: RNAcentral